Molecule: ribosomal RNA, 433 nt
Filed under: uncultured bacterium
Lineage: Bacteria
Description: partial 16S ribosomal RNA
Rfam family: Bacterial small subunit ribosomal RNA
Source: RNAcentral
AACGAACGCUGGCGGCAUGCCUAACACAUGCAAGUCGAACGAGACCUUCGGGUCUAGUGGCGCACGGGUGCGUAACGCGUGGGAACCUGCCCUUAGGUUCGGAAUAACUCCCCGAAAGGGGUGCUAAUACCGGAUAAUGUCUUCGGACCAAAGAUUUAUCGCCUUUGGAAGGGCCCGCGUUGGAUUAGCUAGUUGGUAGGGUAAAAGCCUACCAAGGCGACGAUCCAUAGCUGGUCUGAGAGGAUGAUCAGCCACACUGGGACUGAGACACGGCCCAGACUCCUACGGGAGGCAGCAGUGGGGAAUAUUGGACAAUGGGCGAAAGCCUGAUCCAGCAAUGCCGCGUGAGUGAUGAAGGCCUUAGGGUUGUAAAGCUCUUUUACCCGGGAUGAUAAUGACAGUACCGGGAGAAUAAGCGCCGGCUAACUCCGUG